This 1422-nucleotide ribosomal RNA is filed under the name Salmonella enterica subsp. enterica serovar Kentucky. RNAcentral describes it as "partial 23S ribosomal RNA". It matches the Rfam family "Bacterial large subunit ribosomal RNA", at positions 1521 to 2916 of the family's 2925-position model. Lineage: Bacteria; Pseudomonadati; Pseudomonadota; Gammaproteobacteria; Enterobacterales; Enterobacteriaceae. The record is from RNAcentral.
UAGGUGUGUGUUCCAGGUAAAUCCGGUUCACUUUAACACUGAGGCGUGACGACGAGGCACUACGGUGCUGAAGCAACAAAUGCCCUGCUUCCAGGAAAAGCCUCUAAGCAUCAGGUAACAUCAAAUCGUACCCCAAACCGACACAGGUGGUCAGGUAGAGAAUACCAAGGCGCUUGAGAGAACUCGGGUGAAGGAACUAGGCAAAAUGGUGCCGUAACUUCGGGAGAAGGCACGCUGACACGUAGGUGAAGUGAUUUACUCAUGGAGCUGAAGUCAGUCGAAGAUACCAGCUGGCUGCAACUGUUUAUUAAAAACACAGCACUGUGCAAACACGAAAGUGGACGUAUACGGUGUGACGCCUGCCCGGUGCCGGAAGGUUAAUUGAUGGGGUCAGCGCAAGCGAAGCUCCUGAUCGAAGCCCCGGUAAACGGCGGCCGUAACUAUAACGGUCCUAAGGUAGCGAAAUUCCUUGUCGGGUAAGUUCCGACCUGCACGAAUGGCGUAAUGAUGGCCAGGCUGUCUCCACCCGAGACUCAGUGAAAUUGAACUCGCUGUGAAGAUGCAGUGUACCCGCGGCAAGACGGAAAGACCCCGUGAACCUUUACUAUAGCUUGACACUGAACAUUGAGCCUUGAUGUGUAGGAUAGGUGGGAGGCUUUGAAGUGUGGACGCCAGUCUGCAUGGAGCCGACCUUGAAAUACCACCCUUUAAUGUUUGAUGUUCUAACGUGGACCCGUAAUCCGGGUUGCGGACAGUGUCUGGUGGGUAGUUUGACUGGGGCGGUCUCCUCCUAAAGAGUAACGGAGGAGCACGAAGGUUGGCUAAUCCUGGUCGGACAUCAGGAGGUUAGUGCAAUGGCAUAAGCCAGCUUGACUGCGAGCGUGACGGCGCGAGCAGGUGCGAAAGCAGGUCAUAGUGAUCCGGUGGUUCUGAAUGGAAGGGCCAUCGCUCAACGGAUAAAAGGUACUCCGGGGAUAACAGGCUGAUACCGCCCAAGAGUUCAUAUCGACGGCGGUGUUUGGCACCUCGAUGUCGGCUCAUCACAUCCUGGGGCUGAAGUAGGUCCCAAGGGUAUGGCUGUUCGCCAUUUAAAGUGGUACGCGAGCUGGGUUUAGAACGUCGUGAGACAGUUCGGUCCCUAUCUGCCGUGGGCGCUGGAGAACUGAGGGGGGCUGCUCCUAGUACGAGAGGACCGGAGUGGACGCAUCACUGGUGUUCGGGUUGUCAUGCCAAUGGCACUGCCCGGUAGCUAAAUGCGGAAGAGAUAAGUGCUGAAAGCAUCUAAGCACGAAACUUGCCCCGAGAUGAGUUCUCCCUGAGACUUAGAGUCUCCUGAAGGAACGUUGAAGACGACGACGUUGAUAGGCCGGGUGUGUAAGCGCAGCGAUGCGUUGAGCUAACCGGUACUAAUGAACCGUGAGG